GGUUACAGCCUUGCUGAAUUAUUCACCCUUGUCUUUUGCGUACUUCUUGUUUCCUUGGUGGGUUCGCCCACCACUAGGACAAACAUAAACCUUUUGUAAUUGCAAUCAGCGUCAGUAACAAAUUAAUAAUUACAACUUUCAACAACGGAUCUCUUGGUUCUGGCAUCGAUGAAGAACGCAGCGAAAUGCGAUAAGUAGUGUGAAUUGCAGAAUUCAGUGAAUCAUCGAAUCUUUGAACGCACAUUGCGCCCUUUGGUAUUCCAAAGGGCAUGCCUGUUCGAGCGUCAUUUGUACCCUCAAGCUUUGCUUGGUGUUGGGCGUCUUGUCUCUAGCUUUGCUGGAGACUCGCCUUAAAGUAAUUGGCAGCCGGCCUACUGGUUUCGGAGCGCAGCACAAGUCGCACUCUCUAUCAGCAAAGGUCUAGCAUCCAUUAAGCCUUUUUUUCAACUUUUGACCUCGGAUCAGGUAGGGAUACCCGCUGAACUUAAG
This 489-nucleotide ribosomal RNA is filed under the name Alternaria sp. XS50. RNAcentral's name for it is "eukaryotic LSU rRNA". The stretch from base 134 to 287 matches the Rfam family "5.8S ribosomal RNA". Lineage: Eukaryota; Fungi; Ascomycota; Dothideomycetes; Pleosporales; Pleosporaceae. The record is from RNAcentral.